Molecule: long non-coding RNA, 228 nt
Filed under: Phoenix dactylifera (date palm)
Lineage: Eukaryota; Viridiplantae; Streptophyta; Magnoliopsida; Arecales; Arecaceae
Description: long non-coding RNA (PDAC_LNC016471)
Source: RNAcentral
GAUCCCUAUCUCCCACUAGGAACAUUUCCUCGGUAUCCUCUUCUAGUAUACCUAAGUAUCUAUCGGAAGGAUGGGAGAUCCUACUAGAUCUACGAGGUGGUCGAGGGACAUCAUGUACUGGCUCUGUAUGAAUGGGUUCAAUAGGAUCCAUGACUCGUUGCUUUUCAGAGACUUUCUCUUCAAGCUCAAUUUUCCUCCCACUGCCUCUAUCAAGGAUAAACUGGGUUU